GAUGAAGAACGUAGCGAAAUGCGAUAAGUAAUGUGAAUUGCAGAAUUCAGUGAAUCAUCGAAUCUUUGAACGCACAUUGCGCCCCUUGGUAUUCCGAGGGGCAUGCCUGUUCGAGCGUCAUUAUAACCCCUCAAGCUCAGCUUGGUGUUGGGGCCUGCUGCGCUGGCAGCCCUUAAAAUCAGUGGCGGCGCCAUCUGGCUCUAAGCGUAGUAAUUCUUCUCGCUAUGGAGUCCUGGUGGAUGCUUGCCAUCAACCCCCAAUUUUUCUAUGGUUGACCUCGGAUCAGGUAGGGAUACCCGCUGAACUUAAGCAUAUCAAUAAGCGGAGGA
Molecule: unclassified non-coding RNA, 329 nt
Filed under: soil metagenome
Description: partial contains 5.8S ribosomal RNA, internal transcribed spacer 2, and large subunit ribosomal RNA
Rfam family: 5.8S ribosomal RNA (bases 1-120)
Source: RNAcentral